UACGUUUCAGAUUUGCAAGCAGAAACCCUUGGUUGAUUGGACCCAAACGUAAAACUAAUUUUUAUCUUAUAAUCUGUUUCUGACACAUUUCUCACAUCUGAGAACAUUAGACAGGUUUAGAAAAAACGGGGCGACCUCGAAGAAACGCCAUUGAAACAAAGAAAUUCUUGAGACAAAAAGUAUGAAUGAGUUGUAUCCAUUGUGAUUCUGAACACACAAUUAUACGAUUUUCACCUCUUUCGAGCAAUGUGAAAGCUUGAUGCGACGUUAGAGAUGUUGCAAGAAAUCUGCGUUAUAGCAGAACUUUUUUCCCGAUCGUAUAGCUGUUUGCCAAGACCUAUAGGCGUGUACUAGACAGGUUUUUCUAUUGGCAGGAAAUAUUUAUUGACAUUAUAUAUGGAAAGUACACAUUCGAAAUUGGAAGUACAGCGAUCCAAAUCGGCUGGGUCCCAGCCUUCCCGUGUGAAAAAGAGCUAUAAACCUUAGUCCAGGCUGGCUGUUUGUAAAGUUAUUUUCAAAUAUAACAGGAAUCAAGUUCCUUAGUGCCCAUUUUUAGCUGAAAUGAGACCGCGUUGUGAGGUUGCUGUGUCGUCUUUCUUAAAUCUGUGUGUUAUUAAAGUGUAUCAACAGCUGCUUUUUUUUUAAGUCCACCGGUCAAUGCUGUAACAAUUUUUGACAUUUUUACAUAACUGUGUAUGCCUGCUGACCUCUUCUUGUGUACUUUAUAAUAUAUCGUUGUGUGAUAUGCUGUAGUACGUUAAUCUGCCCCCGUCCCCCAUUCACAUAGUAUAGUACUUUUGCACAUAAACCUGUAUCAUUGUAUUAAGUUAUUAUCAUAGAUAACGCUACAGUAUUGUUAAGUUGCAAUUUAAAUAUGUAGUUUCAAUUGUUUUAAUUGUGUGAAUAAUUUAAUGUAAAUUGAGACAUGCUGUAUACGUAUACGUGAUCUUAGUAGAAAUUGGAUAAUUA
This is a non-coding RNA of Paramuricea clavata, 969 nucleotides long. The record is from the annotation of a GenBank genome assembly. NCBI's taxonomy places the organism in Eukaryota, Metazoa, Cnidaria, Anthozoa, Malacalcyonacea, Plexauridae.